Molecule: ribosomal RNA, 455 nt
Filed under: uncultured bacterium
Lineage: Bacteria
Description: bacterial SSU rRNA
Rfam family: Bacterial small subunit ribosomal RNA
Source: RNAcentral
CAGCAUGGGGGAAUAUUGCACAAUGGGCGCAAGCCUGAUGCAGCCAUGCCGCGUGUAUGAAGUAAGGCCUUCGGGUUGUAAAGUACUUUCAGCAGUGAGGAAGGUGGGUAUGUUAAUAGCAUAUUCAUUUGACGUUAGCUGCAGAAGAAGCACCGGCUAACUCCGUGCCAGCAGCCGCGGUAAUACGGAGGGUGCGAGCGUUAAUCGGAAUUACUGGGCGUAAAGCGCAUGCAGGUGGUUUGUUAAGUCAGAUGUGAAAGCCCGGGGCUCAACCUCGGAAUUGCAUUUGAAACUGGCAAACUAGAGUACUGUAGAGGGGGUAGAAUUUCAGGUGUAGCGGUGAAAUGCGUAGAGAUCUGAAGGAAUACCGGUGGCGAAGGCGGCCCCCCUGGACAGAUACUGACACUCAGAUGCGAAAGCGUGGGGAGCAAACCAGGAUUAGAUACCCCUGGUAG